RNAcentral lists this non-coding RNA (512 nucleotides) under Drosophila virilis. RNAcentral describes it as "Eukaryotic large subunit ribosomal RNA". It matches the Rfam family "Eukaryotic large subunit ribosomal RNA", at positions 2118 to 2641 of the family's 3401-position model. The record is from Rfam by way of RNAcentral. Lineage: Eukaryota; Metazoa; Arthropoda; Insecta; Diptera; Drosophilidae.
UAGGAACCGUGAGAUUAAGCCAUCGCGGCAGGUGCUCACGUUAAGCCCACUGACUUUCAUGUCCCUAUCUACUAUCUAGCGAAACCACAGCCAAGGGAACGGGCUUGGAAUAAUUAGCGGGGAAAGAAGACCCUUUUGAGCUUGACUCUAAUCUGGCAGUGUAAGGAGACAUAAGAGGUGUAGAAUAAGUGGGAGAUAUUAGACUUCGGUUUGGUAUCGACAAUGAAAUACCACUACUCUUAUUGUUUCCUUACUUACUUGAUUAAAUGGAACGUGUAUCAUUUCCUAGCCAUUAUACGGAUAUAAUUAUUAUGUCUUAUGGUAUUGGGUUUUGAUGCAAGCUUCUUGAUCAAAGUAUCACGAGUUUGUUAUAUAAUCGCAAACAAAUUCUUUAAUGAGAGAAUGCAUUUAUGUAUUAUUGAUUUAAAAAUUUGGUAUAACUCCAAUUACUCAGGUAUGAUCCAAUUCAAGGACAUUGCCAGGUAGGGAGUUUGACUGGGGCGGUACAUCUC